RNAcentral lists this long non-coding RNA (3406 nucleotides) under Sus scrofa (pig). Its description in RNAcentral is "lncRNA (ENSSSCG00015025229.1)". Lineage: Eukaryota; Metazoa; Chordata; Mammalia; Artiodactyla; Suidae. The record is from RNAcentral.
GGUUCCCAGGCUUUGGAGGGCCUGCCUUCACUCUUUGGCCCGAGUCGCCCACAGUGGCCCCGAGUGACACUGGCCCCACACGUCAGCUGGGUGAGGUGUCUUGAGUGUUGUCUCGGCAGGAAAUCUUUCCACCGGCAGGUUCCUGUUGGUGCUCACCUGCCCUCAUGGUCCCCUUGUCACCCCAAAACUGGGUUUGCCUCUGGGUGGGUAUUGCGCCAAAAGCCACAACCAAGCCAAAGAGCGGGAGAGGGCAGAAUUAAUUACUCGCAGCAAAGAAGAAGAAGAUCUGAAUUAUUUCCCCAAGCAGUGUCUCCCUGAACAGCAAAAGUGGGGAUGUUUUAAGCUAAGGGAGCUCAUGCAGUCACGAGGGGACUUGCGCAGAGAAGAUUUUGGCCUGGAAUUGGGGCAAGAGUCGUGCCAGGUUGAAGGAGUCCCAGCCUUUGGUGCCUGAAGUCACGAGAGCCAGCAAAGGCCAGCAUCAGCCCUUCUCUGGCUCCAUUUAGUCUAGUGGCUGAUUGUUCAAGGGGAGCUGGACCCUAAAAAACAGCUCCAGAAUGUGCGUCAAGCUAUUCUUUACCCUGGAGGCAGAACUGGAAGUCUUUGGUGACUGACCGAUUGUCUCCGACGUGGUUAAGUUAUUUCCCUGGCCCGGCAAUUGAAGCUCAUUCCCACAUUCUUUUGUUCCCUCCAAAUUAUUAACUACUGAGACCCAUUCUUCUGCGUGGACAAGCAUGGGGGCCAAGGGUCGAUCACAGAAUGGUCUCGGCCUAAACUGGCUGCUCCUGUGUCAAGAUAAGCCAUGCCUGGUUCUCUUCUGCAGGAUGCCCACGCUAUCUGCCUACAGCCUGAUUGGCUGGCAUCAGGUUUCUUUGCGUGUGGGUGCAGACAUGCCACGGGAGGCAUGAGGGCUGAACCGCACUUGCCUUGCAUCUGCCCGGUCUAAACAGAAGACACGCAGUGCUGGUGAAAUUAACAAGACAUAUUCCAUGUUUUUCUCUGUUGCAAGCCAGGAUGAGCGUGCUGCUCUGUGGACUGUUGCAAGGUAGUAAAGCUUCUUAGCUAGAAGCCAACGCAUUGCACCCGAACCCCAGAUCCAUCCCUUACUAGCUCUGUGUCACCUUGGGCGAGCCAUUUGACCUUUCUAUGCUUUAGAUUCUCUGACUGUACGUGGGGACAGCAGUGAUGGUUCCCCGGGUGGUUGUGAGGCUAGGAGAACUAAUGGAUUACAUCAUGCGGCACAGUGCCUGGCACGUAGGAUAAGCUUAGGAAAUGCACCAUGUCCUCUUCCUUGACGAAGCUUCAGUGGGUCCCACAGAUACAGGAUGAGGUCCAGUCUCUGCAGUGGGGUUCUCUCUGGGCUCUGGCCCCUCUUUCCCUCGCUAGCUCCUCUCACCUCAUGCCCCUCGCCUACCUGAUAGCCCAGGUAUGCUGAUAAACCACACAUGUGUGUCACACAUACACACGUGAUGGCUACAUGUCCCCGAGGAUCUAACGCCAAGCUGAAACCCUUCACAACUCUCACGGUCCAGAGAAAGCACUUUAAGCACUGAAUGACUCUUAGAGACAUGUCUGAUGCUGAUGUUUCAGGUUUCCCAGGUAACUGGAGGUGGGACAUUGGCUUCUGUCAGCGGAGUGGAGUUGUUGCCUUUGUAUUUUACUCAAUUGUAUCCCCAGCUUUGAUGAGUAGUCUUUGCAUAAUUAACAUCCUUUCAGUAUUUGAAUCACUUUUGUUUUUUUUAGUUUCUUGAUGACUUGUUCGGGCUAUGUCAUCAACAAAGGUCAAGUCAAUGUUACAGCCUUCCUUGGAAGGAUAAGAUGAGGAUCAUGGCAGGACUUGGGAUGGUUAAGAUCUAGGAAGAAAGUCUUCUAAAGUCAAUUAAGACCCAGACAAAAAGCUUGGUUGCAAAAAGGAAUUGGAUAUCCUGGUGUAACACCAGGAAUUGGUCUGCUUGACGAAAUGUCGUCUAGGAAACUUACCUGUGAAGAAUGCAUGUUGCACAUUGGGACUUGAAGAGACAGUUGUACACCCACCUUCACAAAAGCAUUAUUCCUAACAGCCAAAAGGUGGAAGCAACCCACAGCGUCCAUCAGUAGAUGAGUAGCUCAAAUGUGGCAAGGGCAUACAACGGGAAAGGGUUCAGGAAGGCUAUUCUGACACACGUGACCACAUGGAUCAACCUUAACACUGGGUUCAAUGAAAUAAGCCCCUCGCCAAAAUAUAAUUACUGUGUGAUUCCACUUCUGUCAGGUACCCAGAGCAGUCACAUGAUAAAUCCAGAAAUUGAAUGGUGGUUACCUGGGGCCGAGGGGAGGAGGGACUGGAAAGUUUCUGUUUAAUGGGUACAGAGUUUGAUUUUUACAAUAGGAAAGGGGUUCUGGAGAUGGAGGGUGGUGACAGAUGACAAGGUGCAUGUAUGUGAUGCCGCUGAACUGUGUGCUUUAAAAUGACUAAGAGGGAUGAGUUUGUUAUGUGUAUCUUACUACAGUUUAAAAAAAAUUGUGAAGCCUAUAUAGGUUGCAUUUCAAGAAUGUGACCAGAUCAUUUCAACACGUCUUAGGCUGGUUUUAAUGGAAGUCAGGCAAUAGAAGGUACUCAGAUCUCCUUCAAACACAAAACUAAGUAUGAACACGUUUGCUUUGGGUACGUUAGCCUCUGAGGAUGCUCCUGGAAGGCCUGCUGUUUGAGGCUGCCUUGGCAAAGAGUGUGGCAUGGAGAGAGAGAGAUUCAAGUUGGUUCUUUUCUAUGAAAUUCUCCUGUUCCAAAAGUAACUUGUUACAGUUCUGCCUCGAGGGGACAGAAGGUAGAAAUGUUGUGUAGGAAACGGAAAAAGAAAAAGAGUCUGUUUAGAGAGGGCCGUUUAAAUGCAUUCAACUGGACUAGGUCCCCCCCCGCCCCACCCCCAUCUGAAGAGCAAAUGGUGGUGACCCGUUUUGAACCUCGUUUACUUUAACUAAAAGUAAACUUAACCCUUUGCAGUGAAACAGUGCUUGCGGGUUCUGCUAUGUGGGAGCACAGGCUGAAAUCCCAUGACCUAGAAGAAGAUUUUAUUGGCUGCUCCACCUGUGUCUAGAGAGGCUGACCUGCAACAGGGAAGAGUGACCUGGCUGGGUGGCCCAGCGACCCGUGCUCAGCGUUCUUUACUCAUCCUGGGGUGUUGAGUUCCAGACUCACCUCUCCAGUGGCCUCCCGGACACCUCCUCUGGCAUGUGCCGUGGGCAUCUCCAAGUUGACAUGUCAAUGCAUCAAUUUUAUUUGUUUUUAAGGCCACACCUGUCGCAUAGGGAAGUCCCAGGCUAGGAGUCGAAUUGAAACUGCAGCUGCCAGCCUACACGCCAGCCACACCAACACAGGAUCCGAGCAGCAUCUCUGACCUACACCACAGCUCGUGGUAACGCCGGAUCCUUA